GGAGGUUUCCGCAGAGCUCUUGCAGCACCGCCACUUCCGGGUCCACGGCGUGCCUGUGGGCAGGCGGGUGCUGCCAGCCGAGGCGCAGAGCGGGGGCUCCCUGGGCCGGCCAGCGGAGGAGGGCGCCGAGCCUCUCUCACGCGCGGGAGGGGCUCCUGCCUGUCACCUGGCCUUGCGGAGAGAGCGGCGCCUGGCCGACUGGAGCUUUGUGCCAUUGGAAACGAAGGAACGCUCGCAGCUCCCCCGCGAUGAGCCCAGUACCAGGGAGGUGGCUCCUGGGGUGAGGGAUCAGUUUUGGUUUUCAGCUUUCGAAGUCUCUGGAUACCUGAGCACGAUCCUCCAACUCCAGCUGUCACCUCUGAUAGUUUUUCCCUACACGACUGUACGUGAAGGCCUCGGCCGAAUAGUUACAAACAGGGAUUGCCUUUGCAAUAUUUCUAAAACUUCCCCUAACCCUUGACUUGAUUGGCUUUCCUGUCCCCGUUCUCCAAGGCAGAUGGAGAGAGUGGCCCCUGGCCCGACUUCAGGAGCUACCAGAGCAGCAAAGGCAUCAACUAUUUUUUCCAAAAGAUUCUAACAAUAAGUAAGAGUGAUGAGCCAGGUGAGACCACAAGCGCAUCGCCCAGAGCUAAUCUGCAGCCUCUCCACACACCUAUAAGCCAGGACUGAAGAGGGAGAGAGGGAAUAGAUGUGAUUGAACAAAAUUCGCCUUACGUUUAUUACUUGGAUGCUAGUGUUCUUUGGAAAAGCAAACAAGCAAAAACAAAACUGCAAUAGUUUGAGAUUAAAAUUGUGUCCUCUGUG
Molecule: long non-coding RNA, 804 nt
Organism: Marmota monax (woodchuck)
Lineage: Eukaryota; Metazoa; Chordata; Mammalia; Rodentia; Sciuridae
Exons: 2
Source: RefSeq, a predicted model, not a curated record